UACAGGGGGUGCAAACGUUGCUCGGAAUCAUUGGGCGUAAAGCGUCCGUAGGUGGCUAGUCAAGUCUGCGGUCAAAGACUGGGGCUUAACCCUGGAAAGGCCGUGGAAACUGACGAGCUAGAGUGCAGUAGGGGUAGAGGGAAUUCCCGGUGUAGCGGUGAAAUGCGUAGAGCUCGGGAAGAACAUCGGUGGCGAAAGCGCUCUACUGGACUGCAACUGACACUCAGGGACGAAAGCUAGGGGAGCGAAUGGG
RNAcentral lists this ribosomal RNA (253 nucleotides) under uncultured bacterium. RNAcentral describes it as "partial 16S ribosomal RNA". It matches the Rfam family "Bacterial small subunit ribosomal RNA", at positions 524 to 776 of the family's 1533-position model. The record is from RNAcentral.